RNAcentral lists this ribosomal RNA (399 nucleotides) under uncultured bacterium. Its description in RNAcentral is "bacterial SSU rRNA". It matches the Rfam family "Bacterial small subunit ribosomal RNA", at positions 356 to 772 of the family's 1533-position model. The record is from RNAcentral.
GGGGAAUAUUGGACAAUGGGCGCAAGCCUGAUCCAGCCAUGCCGCGUGAGUGAUGAAGGCCUUAGGGUUGUAAAGCUCUUUCGGCGGGGAAGAUAAUGACGGUACCCGCAGAAGAAGCUCCGGCUAACUUCGUGCCAGCAGCCGCGGUAAUACGAAGGGGGCUAGCGUUGUUCGGAAUCACUGGGCGUAAAGCGCACGUAGGCGGACGUUUAAGUCAGGGGUGAAAUCCCAGGGCUCAACCCUGGAACUGCCCUUGAUACUGGACGUCUCGAGUCCCGGAGAGGUGAGUGGAACUCCGAGUGUAGAGGUGAAAUUCGUAGAUAUUCGGAAGAACACCAGUGGCGAAGGCGGCUCACUGGCCCGGUACUGACGCUGAGGUGCGAAAGCGUGGGGAGCAAA